GACGUAGGGCGCGAGCGUUGUCCGGAUUUAUUGGGCGUAAAGAGCUCGUAGGCGGCUUGUCGCGUCGACUGUGAAAUCCCGAGGCUCAACUUCGGGCUUGCAGUCGAUACGGGCAGGCUAGAGUUCGGUAGGGGAGACUGGAAUUCCUGGUGUAGCGGUGAAAUGCGCAGAUAUCAGGAGGAAUACCGAUGGCGAAGGCAGGUCUCUGGGCUAUAACUGACGCUCAUGCACGAAAGCGUGGGGAGCAAACAGG
Molecule: ribosomal RNA, 253 nt
Filed under: uncultured prokaryote
Description: partial 16S ribosomal RNA
Rfam family: Bacterial small subunit ribosomal RNA
Source: RNAcentral